ACUUUUGAAGGUUCAAGAAAGGGUCUUGGAUUAUUUAAGAAGGGCUCUUAAACAUUUAAGAACCAUGCCUAAACCUUAUUUGUGUGGCAUAAUAAGAAUUUUGAUUUCAACUAAUGACAUUUCUGGAAACAACAUAUGUAUAAUUUGGUAUCUAAGAUGUCCAUAAAAUGAUUUUUCAUGUAGGUCUAAAGAUUUAAUUACUUCUCCCAAACUUUUAGGGAAACUAAUUUCAAAUUGUAACUUGACAUUUCAUAAUACUGUAAAUCAGUGUGAAUAUAAAGAUAUGAAACUCGAGCAACAACAUCAGCUUAAUCUUGGCUACGAAAUUUUUGUUUUUUUAUAGAAAAUAGAGAGUUUUUCACCUUCAUUGUUUAGCCUGCAACGAGUAGAAUAAGCAAUGUUAGAAACUCUUAAAAGUUCUAUAAAUUUGAAUCGGACAGAAACUCUCUUUGUUUACGGGUUACUGUUCCAAAAAAGUGAAAUCUAGAUAUCUCAAUUGCUUAAUUUCUAUACUGAUACAGCAAAUGAUUUUGUAAUGAAAGGAAAAAUAACAGAUAUUGAUUACCGUAAGUCGAGAAGAACGGCGAGGAGAAGAUGAGGCAGAUAACAG
RNAcentral lists this long non-coding RNA (610 nucleotides) under Eutrema salsugineum. Its description in RNAcentral is "long non-coding RNA (ESAL_LNC000426)". The record is from RNAcentral. Lineage: Eukaryota; Viridiplantae; Streptophyta; Magnoliopsida; Brassicales; Brassicaceae.